UACGUAGGGGGCAAGCGUUGUCCGGAUUUAUUGGGCGUAAAGAGCGUGUAGGCGGCCUGAAAGGUCAGCUGCGAAAACUCGAGGCUCAACCUCGAGACGUCGGUUGAAACCAUCUGGCUAGAGUCCGGAAGAGGAGUGUGGAAUUCCCGGUGUAGCGGUGAAAUGCGUAGAGAUCAGCAGGAACACCCGUGGCGAAGGCGGCCCCCUGGGCCGAACCUGACGCUGAGGCGCGAAGGCGUGGGGAGCGAACAGG
Molecule: ribosomal RNA, 253 nt
Filed under: uncultured bacterium
Lineage: Bacteria
Description: partial 16S ribosomal RNA
Rfam family: Bacterial small subunit ribosomal RNA
Source: RNAcentral